CCUCGAUCUCCCUUUGCCCCAGGUUCUCCUGGCAUUCCUCUUCCUCCAUCUGCACCUGGACGACCCCUUUUUCCAGGUUUUCCCGUUGGACCAGGGGGACCCUGGACGCCUCGAGGGCCCUGAGGACCUGGAUCACCACUCUCACCUUUGGCCCCAGAUGAACCAGGCCCCCCCACAGGACCUGGUCUUCCAGUUAGACCCAUUGGGCCAGGUGGGCCUCUCAGAGCAAUCCGAGCCUGCUGAAGAAUAGCUUGAGCCUGAGCUUCCUGAGCAGAGAUGGUUGGUCCUUUGGAACCAUCACCACCAUAACGGAACGGUAACAUCAACAUAGUACCAGGAGGACCAGGUAGACCAUCAGCCCCUGGUAAGCCAGGACGUCCUGGG
This 384-nucleotide long non-coding RNA is filed under the name Homo sapiens (human). RNAcentral's name for it is "LNC_000128". Lineage: Eukaryota; Metazoa; Chordata; Mammalia; Primates; Hominidae. The record is from RNAcentral.